UACGGAAGGCAGCAGUGGGGAAUAUUGCACAAUGGGCGCAAGCCUGAUGCAGCCAUGCCGCGUGUAUGAAGAAGGCCUUCGGGUUGUAAAGUACUUUCAGUCGCGAGGAAGGUGUUAAGGUUAAUAACCUUAGCAAUUGACGUUAGCGACAGAAGAAGCACCGGCUAACUCCGUGCCAGCAGCCGCGGUAAUACGGAGGGUGCGAGCGUUAAUCGGAAUUACUGGGCGUAAAGGGCACGCAGGCGGUUAAUUAAGUUGGAUGUGAAAUCCCCGGGCUUAACCUGGGAAUGGCAUUCAAGACUGGUUAGCUAGAGUCUUGUAGAGGGGGUAGAAUUCCAUGUGUAGCGGUGAAAUGCGUAGAGAUGUGGAGGAAUACCGGUGGCGAAGGCGGCCCCUGGACAAAGACUGACGCUCAUGUGCGAAAGCGUGGGGAGCAAACAGGGAUUAGAUACC
This 453-nucleotide ribosomal RNA is filed under the name uncultured bacterium. RNAcentral describes it as "bacterial SSU rRNA". It matches the Rfam family "Bacterial small subunit ribosomal RNA", at positions 340 to 786 of the family's 1533-position model. The record is from RNAcentral.